CCUACGGGCGGCAGCAGUGGGGAAUAUUGGGCAAUGGAGGCAACUCUGACCCAGCAACGCCGCGUGAAUGAUGAAGGUCUUCGGAUUGUAAAGUUCUGUGAUGGGGGAGGAACACAAUGACGGGACCCCAAUAGCAAGCCACGGCUAACUACGGGCCAGCAGCCGCGGUAAUACGUAGGUGGCAAGAGUUAUCCGGAAUGACUGGGCGUAAAGGGUGCGGAGGUGGUUUAGUAAGUUGGCGGUGUAAUUCCGGGGCUCAACCUCGGCGCUCCCGCCAAAACUAUUAGACUAGAGUGCAGGGGGGGUAAGUGGACUUCCUCGUGUAGCGGUGGAAUGCUUAGAUAUUAGG
This 349-nucleotide ribosomal RNA is filed under the name uncultured bacterium. RNAcentral describes it as "partial 16S ribosomal RNA". It matches the Rfam family "Bacterial small subunit ribosomal RNA", at positions 338 to 701 of the family's 1533-position model. The record is from RNAcentral.